This 253-nucleotide ribosomal RNA is filed under the name uncultured bacterium. RNAcentral describes it as "partial 16S ribosomal RNA". It matches the Rfam family "Bacterial small subunit ribosomal RNA", at positions 524 to 776 of the family's 1533-position model. The record is from RNAcentral.
UACGUAGGGUGCGAGCGUUAAUCGGAAUUACUGGGCGUAAAGCGUGCGCAGGCGGUUAUGUAAGACAGGUGGGAAAUCCCCGGGCUUAACCUGGGAACUGCAUUUGUGACUGCAUAGCUAGAGUACGGUAGAGGGGGAUGGAAUUCCGCGUGUAGCAGUGAAAUGCGUAGAUAUGCGGAGGAACACCGAUGGCGAAGGCAAUCCCCUGGACCUGUACUGACGCUCAUGCACGAAAGCGUGGGGAGCAAACAGG